GCGCCCGUAGCUCAAUUGGNNUCUGACUACGGAUCAGAAGGUUAGGAGUUCGAGUCUCUUCGGGCGCGCCA
RNAcentral lists this transfer RNA (71 nucleotides) under Holosporales bacterium. RNAcentral's name for it is "tRNA-Arg". It matches the Rfam family "tRNA". From Rfam's summary of the family: Transfer RNA (tRNA) molecules are approximately 80 nucleotides in length. Their secondary structure includes four short double-helical elements and three loops (D, anti-codon, and T loops). The record is from RNAcentral. Lineage: Bacteria; Pseudomonadati; Pseudomonadota; Alphaproteobacteria; Holosporales.